UACCAAGGAUUCCCCUAGUAACUGCGAGUGAAGCGGGAAGAGCUCAAAUUUAAAAUCUGGCAGUCUUCUGGCUGUCCGAGUUGUAAUCUGGAGAAGCGUUUUCUGUGUUAGACCGUGUACAAGUCUCCUGGAACGGAGCGUCAUAGAGGGUGAGAAUCCCGUCCAUGACACGGACUACUAAUACUUUGUGAUACGCUCUCGAAGAGUCGAGUUGUUUGGGAAUGCAGCUCAAAAUGGGUGGUAAAUUCCAUCUAAAGCUAAAUCCAGGCGAGAGACCGAUAGCGAACAAGUACCGUGAGGGAMAGAUGAAAAGCACUUUGGAAAGAGAGUUAAACAGUACGUGAAAUUGUUGAAAGGGAAACGCUUGAAGUCAGUCGCGUUGUGCAGAACUCAGCCUUGCCUUGGCUUGGUGUACUUUCUGCAUAACGGGUCAACAUCAAUUUUGGCCCAUGGAAAAAGGUGGGGGGAAUGUAGCGCUGUUUCGGCAGCGUGUUAUAGCCCUCUAUUGUAUACAUGGGUUGGGACUGAGGAACGCAGCACGCCCUUGUGGCCGGGGGUUCGCCCUACGUACCGUGCUUAGGAUGUUGGCAGAAUGGCUUUAAGCGACCCGUCUUGAAACACGGACCAAGGAGUCUAACAUGCUUGCGAGUGUUCGGGUGGAAAACCCUUGUGCGUAAUGAAAGUGAAAGUUGGGAACCUCCGCAAGGGGGUGCACCGACGCCCGGCCCUGACGUUCUCUGACGGUGCUGCGGUAGAGCAAGUAUGCUAGGACCCGAAAGAUGGUGAACUAUGCCUGAAUAGGGCGAAGCCAGAGGAAACUCUGGUGGAGGCUCGUAGCGAUUCUGACGUGCAAAUCGAUCGUCAAAUUUGGG
This 872-nucleotide ribosomal RNA is filed under the name Fomitiporia sp. TFM:F-18103. RNAcentral's name for it is "LSU rRNA". It matches the Rfam family "Eukaryotic large subunit ribosomal RNA", at positions 66 to 915 of the family's 3401-position model. The record is from RNAcentral. Lineage: Eukaryota; Fungi; Basidiomycota; Agaricomycetes; Hymenochaetales; Hymenochaetaceae.